UGGGGAAUAUUGCACAAUUGGCGCAAGCCUGAUGCAGCCAUGCCGCGUGUGUGAAGAAGGCCUUCGGGUUGUAAAGUACUUUCAGCGGGGAGGAAGGGAGUAAAGUUAAUACCUUUGCUCAUUGACGUUACCCGCAGAAGAAGCACCGGCUAACUCCGUGCCAGCAGCCGCGGUAAUACGGAGGGUGCAAGCGUUAAUCGGAAUUACUGGGCGUAAAGCGCACGCAGGCGGUUUGUUAAGUCAGAUGUGAAAUCCCCGGGCUCAACCUGGGAACUGCAUCUGAUACUGGCAAGCUUGAGUCUCGUAGAGGGGGGUAGAAUUCCAGGUGUAGCGGUGAAAUGCGUAGAGAUCUGGAGGAAUACCGGUGGCGAAGGCGGCCCCCUGGACGAAGACUGACGCUCAGGUGCGAAAGCGUGGGGAGCAAACAGG
Molecule: ribosomal RNA, 429 nt
Filed under: Chloroflexota bacterium
Lineage: Bacteria; Bacillati; Chloroflexota
Description: Chloroflexi bacterium partial 16S ribosomal RNA
Rfam family: Bacterial small subunit ribosomal RNA
Source: RNAcentral